This 301-nucleotide ribosomal RNA is filed under the name Prunus dulcis (almond). RNAcentral describes it as "rRNA SSU_rRNA_bacteria". Lineage: Eukaryota; Viridiplantae; Streptophyta; Magnoliopsida; Rosales; Rosaceae. The record is from RNAcentral.
AGGGUUAAGGUUGAAAGGGGUUUAACACACAUAAUCAUAUGUGACAGCUGUUAAAAGUUUUAUAUAGUUCUGCUAGUAACUUUCUCUCCGAGGAGGGGCCUUGUGUUUGAUUAGGUAGUUGGUAAGGCAAAGCUAACUAAGGCAAUUAGGAAGAUCAACACACUAACUGAGACACAUCCCAUACUUCUACCGAACGCAGUAGUGGGGAAUUCUUCGCCAUGUGGAGGUAGAAGAGGCAACGAAAGCAUCGACUUUCUUUGUGCUAGCAACGGCGGGGAAAAAGAGGAUGCAAGCAUUAUCU